GUGAGAGAGAAUGGAGAAACAGAUAUCCUUUUUCUUUCUUCUGAUUCUAGAAACAUUCUCAUGUACUCCACAUGUCAUCCAAUGGAUAGGAUAUGUAUCGUGGGAAAAAGGGGUAACCAUCUCAUUUUCAAAAUUUGGAUAGAUAGUUUCAAAGCAAUUGAAACUACUCUUCUUUUCCCACUAAAGAAAUUUAAGUGGUGCCCACACAUCAUGGGCACCCACUAGAACUG
This 230-nucleotide long non-coding RNA is filed under the name Elaeis guineensis (African oil palm). Its description in RNAcentral is "long non-coding RNA (EGUI_LNC068662)". Lineage: Eukaryota; Viridiplantae; Streptophyta; Magnoliopsida; Arecales; Arecaceae. The record is from RNAcentral.